Molecule: ribosomal RNA, 1465 nt
Filed under: uncultured Bordetella sp.
Lineage: Bacteria; Pseudomonadati; Pseudomonadota; Betaproteobacteria; Burkholderiales; Alcaligenaceae
Description: partial 16S-23S ribosomal RNA intergenic spacer
Rfam family: Bacterial small subunit ribosomal RNA
Source: RNAcentral
GAUUUCGAUCAUGGCUCAGAUUGAACGCUGGCGGGAUGCUUUACACAUGUGCAAUUCGAACGGCAGCACGGACUUCGGUCUGGUGGCGAGUGGCGAACGGGUGAGUAAUGUAUCCAGACGUGCUAAUGCUUGAGGAUAACUACGCGAAAGCGCGCAACUAAUACCGCAUACGCGCAGAGGAAAGCGGAGGGGACCUUCGGGCCUCGCACUAUUAAGAAGCGGCCGAUAUCGGAUUAGCUAGUUGGUGGGAGUAACGGCUCACCAAGGCGACGAUCCGUAGCUGGUUUGAAGGACGACCAGCGCUACGCUGGGACUGAGACUGAACUCCUGCGGAGGCUGGCAGUGGGGAAUUUGGACAAUGGAAGCCCUGAAUCAAAGCCAUCCCGCGUGCGAUGAGGCCUUCGGGUUGUAAGCCGCCUUUGUGGAAAGAAACGGCACGGGAUAUUACCCCGUGCAACUGACGUACCUGCAGAAUAAGCACCGGUAACUACGUUGCCAGCAGCCGCGGUAAUACGUAAGUGCAAGCGUUAAUCGGAAUUACUGGGCGUAAAGCGUGCGCGGGCGGAAAGAAAAGAUGUGAAAUCCCAGAGCUUAACUUUGGAGCAUUUUUAACUACCGAGCUAGAGUGUGUCAGAGAGUGGAAUUCCGCGUGUAGCAGUGAAAUGCGUGAUGCGGAAGGCGCGAAUCGUAAAAGCAUCUGGGAUAACUGACGCUCAUGCACGAAAGCGUGGGAGCAAGCAGGAUUAGAUGCCACGUGAGUCCACGCCACUGACGAUGUCGCUAACAGGCUGGGGCCUUCGGGCCUUGGUAGCGCAACUAACGCGUGAAAUUGACCGCCUGGGAGGUACGGUCGCAAGAUUAAAACUCAAAGGAAUUGACGGACCCGCUACAAGCGGUGGAUGAUGUGGAUUAAUUCGAUGCAACGCGAAAAUACCCCCUACCCGUGACAUGUCUGGAAUCCCGAAGAGAUUUGGGAGUGCUCGCAAGGGAACCGGAACACAGGUGCUGCAUGGCUGUCGUCAGCUCGUGUCGUGAGAUGUUGGGUUAAGUCCCGCAACGAGCGCAACCCUUGUCAUUAGUUGCUACGAAAGGGCACUCUAAUGGAACGCCUUGAGACGGCAAACCGGAGGAAGGUGAGGAUGACGUCAAGUCCUCAUGUCCCUUAUGGGUAGGGCUUCGUCGCUACAAUAGUUGCGGGACAGGGUAAACCAAACCACUGAAGAGGAGCCAAUCCCGAAACCCGAUCGUAGUCCGGAUGCCAGUCGCAACUCAGCUGCGUGAAGUCGGAAAUCGCUAGUAAUCGCGGAUCAAACAUCACCGAAUGGUCAGGUCUUGCUUCACACCUUAUCACACCAUGGGAGUGGGUUUUACCAGAAGUAGUUAGCCUAACCGUAAGGAGGGGCAGUUCACGGUAGGAUUCAUGACUGGGGUGGGAUAACUCAGACGCUCUAUUGAUGCUUAGAAC